GCAGUCGUAGCCGAGUGGUUAAGGCGAUGGACAAGAAAUCCAUUGCGGGCUCCCCGCACAGGUUCGAAUCCUGUCGACUGCG
RNAcentral lists this transfer RNA (82 nucleotides) under Ixodes scapularis (black-legged tick). It matches the Rfam family "tRNA". Rfam says of the family: Transfer RNA (tRNA) molecules are approximately 80 nucleotides in length. Their secondary structure includes four short double-helical elements and three loops (D, anti-codon, and T loops). The record is from Rfam by way of RNAcentral. Lineage: Eukaryota; Metazoa; Arthropoda; Arachnida; Ixodida; Ixodidae.